AUUGAACGCUGGCGGCAUGCCUUACACAUGCAAGUCGAACGGCAGCACGGGAGCAAUCCUGGUGGCGAGUGGCGAACGGGUGAGUAAUAUAUCGGAACGUGCCCAGUCGUGGGGGAUAACGUAGCGAAAGCUACGCUAAUACCGCAUACGAUCUAUGGAUGAAAGCGGGGGAUCGCAAGACCUCGCGCGAUUGGAGCGGCCGAUAUCAGAUUAGGUAGUUGGUGAGGUAAAGGCUCACCAAGCCGACGAUCUGUAGCUGGUCUGAGAGGACGACCAGCCACACUGGGACUGAGACACGGCCCAGACUCCUACGGGAGGCAGCAGUGGGGGAAUUUUGGACAAUGGGCGCAAGCCUGAUCCAGCAAUAGCCGCGUGCAGGAUGAAGGCC
RNAcentral lists this ribosomal RNA (388 nucleotides) under uncultured bacterium. RNAcentral describes it as "bacterial SSU rRNA". It matches the Rfam family "Bacterial small subunit ribosomal RNA", at positions 29 to 416 of the family's 1533-position model. The record is from RNAcentral.